AGUCACGCGAUGAGCACAUAGCGAACUAUUCUUUCGCCUUUUACUAAAGAAUACCGUGUGCACGUGGCAUUGAGUGGCAUACGCCAAUUUUUGGAGAGGGGCUCUUACAGAGGACCU
Small nuclear RNA from Ipomoea triloba (trilobed morning glory), 117 nucleotides. RefSeq annotates it as U5 spliceosomal RNA. The transcript has a single exon. NCBI's taxonomy places the organism in Eukaryota, Viridiplantae, Streptophyta, Magnoliopsida, Solanales, Convolvulaceae. The record is from RefSeq and is a predicted model, not a curated record.